GCACAGGGGAAUCAAUAACUCUGGUAACCAGGAAUGAUUGGAAGGUUGGAGGUGAAUUAAUCGGUAUCUUGGAGCGUGCUAAUCAAGAAGUUCCAGGGGAGCUGUUUGAUAUGGCUGAAAGAUACCGGCAAUUAAAGAUAAAGAAGGAUAGCGAAAGAGACCUAAUACCCAGCAAGGGAUGCUGGCGAGAAAACUUUUGAUUUCAGAGUAUGAAUAUCACUCUUACUAAAGAAGAGGUUUUUCUAAGCAACUGAUUAAACAUUUUGAAUGGU
Long non-coding RNA from Xenopus laevis (African clawed frog), 272 nucleotides. RefSeq lists it as uncharacterized. NCBI's taxonomy places the organism in Eukaryota, Metazoa, Chordata, Amphibia, Anura, Pipidae. The transcript has 2 exons. The record is from RefSeq and is a predicted model, not a curated record.